Neoarius graeffei (lesser salmon catfish) is the source of this 1807-nucleotide long non-coding RNA. RefSeq lists it as uncharacterized. NCBI's taxonomy places the organism in Eukaryota, Metazoa, Chordata, Actinopteri, Siluriformes, Ariidae. The transcript is spliced from 2 exons. The record is from RefSeq and is a predicted model, not a curated record.
GGGCUCCAUACUUCAUUGACCCCGAUGGACAGAAGCCGUUUUCUCCAUUUAGUUAUUUUAUAAUUUGAGGCACAACGCACUUUCAAACAAUCUUUAACAUUUAUUCAUCUUUCUAUAUUAAUAAUAUUGACAAUUCCACUGAAAUGAUUAAAAUCACAGCUGAAUGGAGGUGAAAUUACACGCUGAGAUGAUAAAUCCUGAUGUACUUUUGUUUUGCAGUGAACUCCAGCAGGCUCCGUCUCCGACUUUCUCCUCAGUCUCUCUGUGAUUAUUGAGCAGGUAUCAGGCGAGCAGCUUACUGCCACAAAUGUGUUUAUAUCCAAAAUUAGACAAACCUCUUUCUGAUUAGAGCAACUGGUAUCCAAUAAAACCUCAUUAUCAUUGUUAUUAUAUAAAGGAAUGGAUUCGUUUAAAAAUAAACACUUCUUUAUAAUCAGUAUAAUAAUGUGAUUAUCGAACGCUGCAGACACUUUCAUCAUUUCUGUUGGUUAUUUUUCUACAAACAUCCAAUUCAAAUUUCAGAGCCUGGAUUAUUAGUGUUAGUUGAUUAUUAAAGAAGUAAAAUGCACAGAAUAGAUUUCAUUUUCAGCUCUUCAGAGUCUCAGAAAUGCUCAUGGGGCCCAGGCACAGUCUGAGUUGGACGCCUCGAUCUGAACCUCCGACCUGGAACUGAAACGGGGAGUCAAUAAGAACUGGGACUGGAAUUGGAAUAAGCAGAAUCAGGAUCAAUAAAAUUAAAAUGAUACCCAACCCAAACACACACAAGGAAUGAAUCAACACAGUGACAAGCUCCACCCUUUUUUCACCCAGUAACACCCAAAUCUGAUCAGCCAAUCAGGAACGAGAUCAUGUGACCUCAUCACUGUGGUUUUUGGAAUGUUACCUGGAAUGUUGCUCGUGAGCAUGACGAGUUGUAGAACAUCCUCAUCUCAUCUCAUUAUCUGUAGCCGCUUUAUCCUGUUCUACAGGGGAGGCGAGCUGGAUCCUAUCCCAGCUGACUACGGGCGAAAGGCGGGGUUCACCCUGGACAAGUCGCCAGGUCAUCACAGGGCUGACACAUAGACACAGACAACCAUUCACACUCACAUUCACACCUACGCUCAAUUUAGAGUCACCAGUUAACCUAACCUGCAUGUCUUUGGACUGUGGGGGAAACCGGAGCACCCGGAGGAAACCCACGCGGACACGAGGAGAACAUGCAAACUCCAUACAGAAAGGCCCUCGCCGGCCACGGGGCUCGAACCCGGACCUUGUAGAACAUCCUGUAGCUACUUAUUAACAUUAGCGAAGCCACUCCUCCCCAGAGAGGACUAAAAUUUCUAUGAAGAAAAAGAUUAUAAUGCAAAUAAUUUUGCAUAUAAUUAGGACAUAUUAAUUAUUAUAUUAUAACUACAAAUCAUUUUACAUUUUUCAUCUCAUUUUUGCAGUUUAUGAUUUUAACACAUUAAUGUUUGUUUUUUGUUUUUUUUUAAAUCCAGUGAACCGAAUUAUGGGAUUGUGCUCCAGUCUCGGGGUUAUUAUAUUAACAUGCUUAUAAAUUAAACCCUUUCCCAGUCACCUGUGUGUGUGUGUGUGUGUGUGUGUGUGUGUGUGUGUGUGUGUGUGUGUGUGUGUGUGUGUGUGUGUAAAUGUGUGUGUUUAUGGUGUUGAUGUACAUUUGUAUACUACACAGUCAGUGUAAAUAUGUAGAUACACAAGUUCUCCUUUUGCUCUGUUUCUGUAAAGUUUUGUAUUGAAUAUUUUUCUCACACAGAUAUGUUUGUGACUCGCUGUUCUGUUGUUAAUGCAAUAAAUUUGUUAAAUCAGA